Molecule: ribosomal RNA, 253 nt
Filed under: uncultured bacterium
Lineage: Bacteria
Description: partial 16S ribosomal RNA
Rfam family: Bacterial small subunit ribosomal RNA
Source: RNAcentral
UACGAAGGGGGCUAGCGUUGCUCGGAAUUACUGGGCGUAAAGCGCACGUAGGCGGCUUUCUAAGUGGGGGGUGAAAUCCUGGAGCUCAACUCCAGAACUGCCUUCGAUACUGGAGAGCUCGAGUCCGGGAGAGGUGAGUGGAACUGCGAGUGUAGAGGUGAAAUUCGUAGAUAUUCGCAAGAACACCAGUGGCGAAGGCGGCUCACUGGCCCGGUACUGACGCUGAGGUGCGAAAGCGUGGGGAGCAAACAGG